UACGUAGGGCGCAAGCGUUAUCCGGAAUUAUUGGGCGUAAAGAGCUCGUAGGCGGUUUGUCGCGUCUGCCGUGAAAGCCCGGGGCUCAACCCCGGGAGGCGGGUGGAUACUGCUCAGCUCGAGUCCGGAAGAGGAGUGUGGAAUUCCUGGUGUAGCGGUGAAAUGCGCAGAUAUCAGGAGGAACACCGGUGGCGAAGGCGGGUCUCUGGGCCGAAAUUGACGCUGAGGAGCGAAAGCGUGGGGAGCAAACAGG
RNAcentral lists this ribosomal RNA (253 nucleotides) under uncultured bacterium. RNAcentral's name for it is "partial 16S ribosomal RNA". It matches the Rfam family "Bacterial small subunit ribosomal RNA", at positions 524 to 776 of the family's 1533-position model. The record is from RNAcentral.